GGAUGGUUCUCCUGUGGUCCUGUAUCAAUGCUAUCAGAGCCGACCACCGCUCCUAGCACCACAUGUGACCGAUGGAGGUGACGCCGGUGCUCGUCCGGGGCUAGGAACCUUCUCUCUUUGCCUAGCGCAAAGCCUGCCACAUGAGGGCAUGUGGCUGCGAAGAGGGGUGGUAUGUUACGGUCCAUUGUAAGGUAUGGGACUUAAGUCCCACAUUGGUCAUAUGGGUGGCUGAUGUGGGGUUUAUAUAGGAUCAUGGGCUCUCCUCCCCUUGAGCUAGCUUUUGGGGAUGGUUCUCCUGUGUUCCUGUAUCAGUCAUGAACUUAAUCUUGUUGGUUUUUUUCAUCUGGGUAGUUUUUAAUUGUUGUUUUUAGGUUUUGAUUUAAUAUAUGAUGUUUGUUUGAUAAUUCACACGGGGUUUGUUGAUUGUUGCAAUAUCAAGGUUCUGCUUGAGUUUCCUCAACCUGUACUCUUUCUCCUGUCUUUGUGUUAUGUUGAUUUUAUUUGACAAUUUCUAGGUUCAGUGCUUGCCAAUUAUCGUUCAGUGCUCACCUUCUCAUUCGGUUCCCCUUUCGUUUGUAAUUAUUCCUCUCUCCUCCCAUAUGUUUCAAUUUUUUUUUCUCACUCGCAGAUCUUGUUCUUCCAUUAUUAUUGGAAUUUGCAUCUUCCACCAUAUGGUUUCUAUCUUCACGGAGGUUCAUGGUUCAAUUGGAUGUAAGGCCAUCACAUAGACUCUCCUUGACUCUAUGAGGACGGGAGUAUCUUUGGAUGCAUUGGGGUCAUGAUGACGAGGAGUUAAAAUAUGAUCAUCUUGCUUUGGGGUUAAAGAGAGCUCUAGAGCAUGAAAGAUAUGCCUUCGAUGCAGAUCAUCUACAAAAUUACACAGGCCCUGAACUACAAUAGAUGUUAUUGCUUCUAGAAUAUUUUGAGGCCACUUCAUUUAGAAUAUGAACGAGUUCGCCUACUUCAUAAGAAUCUUGCUGAAUAAAAAUGAGAAAUACUGAUCUAUUCAUGACCUCGGGAUAUAGGUCGAUUCUCUAUCAAACAAAAGUGUUAAUACUCCUCCAGAAUUCCAGGUUUACUUCUGCUCAACUUCUCUCAACCCCCUUCUACCCAAAUAAGUCAAUCAAUCUCCCAAAAAUCAGAUCUAUGUUCUAUAAACUUUCGCAGAUGGGAGAAUUAUGACAAUGCUAAUUUUUGUUGUAAACUAUGAUGAAACUAGAAGUCUUUCAGAUAGGAGAACUAAUAGUUGCCCAUACCGUAUGCAUCAAAACUCAAUCUGUUAGAGAACAACAAAUCUUUGAAUAUUUCUCUUACUAUAAAGCUGGUUUUUUGGAAAUAUUGAUUGGUGUUUUUGCUGACUUGUAGUUCAUGGGUUGGAGUGGUCGCCUUGAUUUUUUCAUUUCCUCAAUCACCACAUGCUAAUAGAAUUUAAGAUUUGGACAUACUUUCUUUGGUCUAGCACUGCUAUUAUAUUGAUUAAGGGGUAUCUUAUAAUUUCUAGCUUAAGGGUCGCCGACUUUCCGGGUGAAACAAAUCACUGUAUAAGUGAUUCCUUGGGUUAGGAUACUUUGGCAUUGUAUGCAGUGUGAUAUAUCUUUUCUGCUAUAGGGAUAUAUUUGUUGUUGAUUGAUAUUAGAAUAUUCAUUUAUAUGUUCCCUCAAGAUUUUAUGUUAAAUUAAUUUCGAUGAAUGUCCUUUAGAUGCUCAAAUUUUGUAUUAAAUUCAGAGUACUUACGUUUGGAGUUAUUGUGUAAAUAAUUUUCUUCAAGAUUUUAUGUUAAGUUAAUUUCGAUUAAAGUCCUUAUUUUUUUAUUGCUCUUGAUCAAGAAAUUGUUCUUGGAGGUGGUGCUCUUGAUUAAUCAUUUAAAACAAGCCGCAUAUCUAGUCAUGAUAACCAUCUAGUUUCACACUUGAGUCAUCUGAGGUUUGUUAGAGUAUUUUUGUUUUCUGUAGGAUGUGUAGGCAUGAGAGUUUUAAGUAUUGUUUAAAGGCUUUGAAGAUUUUUUGUUGGCAACCAACAAACAAAGAAGUUAAACCUACACCCUUGCUGCAGUUGCAAGCUUAUAUGGGCCUCUAACACUAUAUUUCACUUACCUUUUUACAACAGACCAAGCUAAAUUGCAAAAGAUACAAACUAAUAUCUUGAAGUUCAUGUUUUGGGAAAGUUCAUGUUUCACAAUGGCUCUUUAUUCAUUUGAGAGUGGAAACCUUGAGAGUAGAACUGAUUUGCAGUUCAGAACUGAAAGUGCCAAACAUCACAUAUUUAAAGUUCAGAACUGAAGGUGCCAGGAAAAGUAUGAAAUAAAACAGGGCAUGACACAUUUAACGGCAGGACAAUCAUGAAACGGGGCAUGGCACAAGACAAUCAAGAUGCGGCAGUGCACCCAGGUUCUAAUUUUUCUUUUAAUUAAACAAGGGAUUAGUGUAAUUAACUCCAAACCAUGGGGAAACAAUUAGCUAAUUCAGUGAAAGCAAGAUAGUUGAAGUAAACAAGAAUUAAGUUUGAAUGAAAAUAGCAAAGGUUUGCCAUUGUUUUAUUUUCAUCUGUCACUCUUUUCCAUUUUUGUCAACUUGCUUACUUCUUUGAUCAUUGCUUGUCACUUGAUUAAUUAGAGUUGUGAUGAAGUUUGAUUUUGUCCACUACACGAUCAACAUGUGUUACAUGCUCUAUUUUUUGGUUUAUUUACAUGUAACCAACAUUCUUCCAUUGAACAAAUAAUAGAUUUGGGGAGAACAAAACUCACCCUAAUGCUUUUUUCGUUAUUUUAUCUGACAUUUUAGCUAGUAUACUAACUUUUAACUUGUGAUUAAUCUCAAAAUUUUUACUUGCAGGUGCAAGGUGAGCUAAGUGGAGAAGAAAUAUAGUCAAUUAUCAAGUGAUAUAUAUGGACUUCGUGGCAGCAUCAUUUUAGCUUAUAGCUGCUAGCUUUUGAUAGUUUAAACAAUGUUAAAACUUUUUAUUUUGAGAAUAUUAUAUCCUGUUACAAAGACUUGUUGAUUUGAGUAUUUUAUUUUGAGUAUUUUGUAUUAUACAUAUAUACCCUAUGGGGAACAAAUAUAUUUUAUUAUUGAUUUCAUAUCAA
This is a long non-coding RNA of Spinacia oleracea (spinach), 3082 nucleotides long. RefSeq lists it as uncharacterized. The record is from RefSeq and is a predicted model, not a curated record. The transcript is spliced from 5 exons. Lineage: Eukaryota; Viridiplantae; Streptophyta; Magnoliopsida; Caryophyllales; Amaranthaceae.